RNAcentral lists this ribosomal RNA (301 nucleotides) under uncultured bacterium. Its description in RNAcentral is "partial 16S ribosomal RNA". It matches the Rfam family "Bacterial small subunit ribosomal RNA", at positions 509 to 807 of the family's 1533-position model. The record is from RNAcentral.
CAGCAGCCGCGGUAAUGCGUAGGGUGCGAGCGUUUAUCGGAAUUACUGGGCGUAAAGCGUGCGCAGGCGGUUUUGUAAGACAGGCGUGAAAUCCCCGGGCUCAACCUGGGAAUGGCGCUUGUGACUGCAAAGCUAGAGUGUGUCAGAGGGGGGUAGAAUUCCACGUGUAGCAGUGAAAUGCGUAGAGAUGUGGAGGAAUACCGAUGGCGAAGGCAGCCCCCUGGGCCAAUACUGACGCUCAUGCACGAGAGCGUGGGGAGCAAACAGGAUUAGAUACCCGCGUAGUCCCUGUCUCUUAUAC